UACGUAGGGGGCAAGCGUUGUCCGGAAUCAUUGGGCGUAAAGCGCGUGUAGGCGGGUCGGUCAGUCCGCUCUGAAAGCCCGGGGCUCAACCCCGGGAGGCGGGUGGAUACUGUCGACCUCGAGUCCGGAAGAGGCGAGUGGAAUUCCUGGUGUAGCGGUGAAAUGCGCAGAUAUCAGGAGGAACACCAAUGGCGAAGGCAGCUCGCUGGGACGGUACUGACGCUGAGACGCGAAAGCGUGGGGAGCAAACAGG
This 253-nucleotide ribosomal RNA is filed under the name uncultured bacterium. Its description in RNAcentral is "partial 16S ribosomal RNA". It matches the Rfam family "Bacterial small subunit ribosomal RNA", at positions 524 to 776 of the family's 1533-position model. The record is from RNAcentral.